GAUGAACGCUGGCGGCGUGCUUAACACAUGCAAGUCGAACGGGAUCCAUCAGGCUUUGCUUGGUGGUGAGAGUGGCGAACGGGUGAGUAAUGCGUGACCGACCUGCCCCAUACACCGGAAUAGCUCCUGGAAACGGGUGGUAAUGCCGGAUGCUCCAGUUGAUCGCAUGGUCUUCUGGGAAAGCUUUCGCGGUAUGGGAUGGGGUCGCGUCCUAUCAGCUUGACGGCGGGGUAACGGCCCACCGUGGCUUCGACGGGUAGCCGGCCUGAGAGGGCGACCGGCCACAUUGGGACUGAGAUACGGCCCAGACUCCUACGGGAGGCAGCAGUGGGGAAUAUUGCACAAUGGGCGCAAGCCUGAUGCAGCGACGCCGCGUGAGGGAUGGAGGCCUUCGGGUUGUAAACCUCUUUUAUCGGGGAGCAAGCGAGAGUGAGUUUACCCGUUGAAUAAGCACCGGCUAACU
RNAcentral lists this ribosomal RNA (463 nucleotides) under uncultured bacterium. RNAcentral describes it as "bacterial SSU rRNA". It matches the Rfam family "Bacterial small subunit ribosomal RNA", at positions 28 to 502 of the family's 1533-position model. The record is from RNAcentral.